Molecule: ribosomal RNA, 448 nt
Filed under: uncultured bacterium
Lineage: Bacteria
Description: bacterial SSU rRNA
Rfam family: Bacterial small subunit ribosomal RNA
Source: RNAcentral
GCGCCAGACUCCUACGGGAGGCAGCAGUGGGGGAUAUUGCACAAUGGGGGGAACCCUGAUGCAGCGACGCCGCGUGGGUGAAGGAGUAUUUCGGUAUGUAAAGCCCUAUCGGCAGGGAAGAAGCAAGACGGUACCUGACUAAGAAGCCCCGGCUAACUACGUGCCAGCAGCCGCGGUAAUACGUAGGGGGCAAGCGUUAUCCGGAUUUACUGGGUGUAAAGGGAGCGUAGACGGCAGUGCAAGUCCGGAGUGAAAGCCCGGGGCUCAACCCUGGGACUGCUCUGGAAACUGUAAAGCUGGAGUGCGGGAGGGGCAGGCGGAAUUCCUGGUGUAGCGGUGAAAUGCGUAGAUAUUAGGAGGAACACCAGUGGCGAAGGCGGCCUGCUGGACUGCAACUGACGUUGAGGCUCGAAGGCGUGGGGAGCAAACAGGAUUAGAUACCCCUGUA